RNAcentral lists this ribosomal RNA (497 nucleotides) under uncultured bacterium. RNAcentral describes it as "partial 16S ribosomal RNA". It matches the Rfam family "Bacterial small subunit ribosomal RNA", at positions 28 to 507 of the family's 1533-position model. The record is from RNAcentral.
GAUGAACGCUGGCGGCGUGCCUAAUACAUGCAAGUCGAGCGAACAGAUGAGGAGCUUGCUCCUCUGACGUUAGCGGCGGACGGGUGAGUAACACGUGGAUAACCUACCUAUAGGACUGGGAUAACUUCGGGAAACCGGAGCUAAUACAGGAUAAUAUAUUGAACCGCAUGGUUCAAUAGUGAAAGACGGUUUUGAUGUCACUUAUAGAUGGAUCCGCGCCGCAUUAGCUAGUUGGUAAGGUAACGGCUUACCAAGGCAACGAUGCGUAGCCGACCUGAGAGGGUGAUCGGCCACACUGGAACUGAGACACGGUCCAGACUCCUACGGGAGGCAGCAGUAGGGAAUCUUCCGCAAUGGGCGAAAGCCUGACGGAGCAACGCCGCGUGAGUGAUGAAGGUCUUCGGAUCGUAAAACUCUGUUAUUAGGGAAGAACAAAUGUGUAAGUAACUAUGCACGUCUUGACGGUACCUAAUCAGAAAGCCACGGCUAACUGCGUG